GCGGCGUGCUUACCAUGGCAGUCGAACGAUGAAGCCGGAGCUUGCUCUGGUGAAUUAGUGCCUUAAGGGUGAGUAACACGUGAGCAACCUGCCCUUCACUCUUGGAUAACUGCGGGAAACUGUAGCUAAUACCGGAUAUGAGGCUCUGAGGCAUCUCGGAGCUUGGAAAGAAUUUCGGUGAAGGAUGGGCUCGCGGCCUAUCAGCUUGUUGGUGAGGUAAAGGCUCACCAAGGCGACGACGGGUAGCCGGCCUGAGAGGGUGACCGGCCACACUGGAACUGAGACACGGUCCAGACUCCUACGGGAGGCAGCAGUGGGGAAUAUUGCACAAUGGGGGAAACCCUGACGCAGCCACGCCGCGUGCCAGAUGAAGGCCCUACGGGUCGUAAAUGGCUUUUGGUCGGGAAGAUAAGCCGGGUUUCGACCUGGUGUGACGGUACCGACUGAAUAAGCACCGGCUAACUCCGUGCCAGCAGCCGCGGUAAUACGGAGGGUGCAAGCGUUGUCCGGAAUCAUUGGGUGUAAAGGGUGCGUAGGCGGAUGCCUAAGUCUGGGGUGAAAUCUUGCAGCUUAACUGUAAAAUUGCCUUGGAUACUGGGUGUCUUGAGUACAGAAGAGGAUGGUGGAAUUCGUAGUGUAGCGGUGAAAUGCAUAGAUAUUACGAAGAACACCGGUGGCGAAAGCGGCCAUCUGGUCUGUUACUGACGCUGAGGCACGAAAGCGUGGGGAGCGAACAGGAUUAGAUACCCUGGUAGUCCACGCCGUAAACGAUGAGAACUAGCCGUUGGGGACUUCGGCCCUUGGUGGCACAGCUAACGCGAUAAGUUCUCCGCCUGGGGAGUACGGCCCGCAGGUUAAAACUCAAAUGAAUUGACGGGGGCCCGCACAAGCGGUGGAACAUGGGGUUUAAUUCGAUGCAACCCGAAGAACCUUCCAGCCCUUGAC
This 945-nucleotide ribosomal RNA is filed under the name uncultured Actinomycetes bacterium. Its description in RNAcentral is "bacterial SSU rRNA". It matches the Rfam family "Bacterial small subunit ribosomal RNA", at positions 39 to 985 of the family's 1533-position model. The record is from RNAcentral. Lineage: Bacteria; Bacillati; Actinomycetota; Actinomycetes.